GUCCAGACUCCUACGGGAGGCAGCAGUGGGGAAUAUUGCACAAUGGGGGAAACCCUGAUGCAGCGACGCCGCGUGAGUGAAGAAGUAUUUCGGUAUGUAAAACUCUAUCAGCAGGGAAGAAAAUGACGGUACCUGACUAAGAAGCCCCGGCUAACUACGUGCCAGCAGCCGCGGUAAUACGUAGGGGGCAAGCGUUAUCCGGAUUUACUGGGUGUAAAGGGAGCGUAGACGGCAUGGCAAGUCAGAUGUGAAAGCCCGGGGCUCAACCCCGGGACUGCAUUUGAAACUGUCAGGCUGGAGUGCAGGAGAGGUAAGUGGAAUUCCUAGUGUAGCGGUGAAAUGCGUAGAUAUUAGGAGGAACACCAGUGGCGAAGGCGGCUUACUGGACUGUAACUGACGUUGAGGCUCGAAAGCGUGGGGAGCAAACAGGAUUAGAUACCCUGGUACUG
RNAcentral lists this ribosomal RNA (449 nucleotides) under uncultured bacterium. RNAcentral's name for it is "bacterial SSU rRNA". It matches the Rfam family "Bacterial small subunit ribosomal RNA", at positions 329 to 793 of the family's 1533-position model. The record is from RNAcentral.